AUUGAACGCUGGCGGCAUGCCUUACACAUGCAAGUCGAACGGCAGCACGGGUGCUUGCACCUGGUGGCGAGUGGCGAACGGGUGAGUAAUACAUCGGAACAUGUCCUGUAGUGGGGGAUAGCCCGGCGAAAGCCGGAUUAAUACCGCAUACGAUCUACGGAUGAAAGCGGGGGACCUUCGGGCCUCGCGCUAUAGGGUUGGCCGAUGGCUGAUUAGCUAGUUGGUGGGGGAAAGGCCUACCAAGGCGACGAUCAGUAGCUGGUCUGAGAGGACGACCAGCCACACUGGGACUGAGACACGGCCCCGACUCCUACGGGAGGCCGCAGUGGGGAAUUUUGGACAAUGGGGGAAAGCCUGCUCCAGCAAUGCCGCGUGUGUGAAGAAGGCCUUCGGGUUGUUAAGCACUUUUGUCCGGAAAGAAAUCCUUGGCCCUAAUACGGUCGGGGGAUGGCGGUACCGGAAGAAUAAGCACCGGCUAACUACGUG
Molecule: ribosomal RNA, 486 nt
Filed under: uncultured bacterium
Lineage: Bacteria
Description: partial 16S ribosomal RNA
Rfam family: Bacterial small subunit ribosomal RNA
Source: RNAcentral